CCCUACGGGGCGCAGCAGUAGGGAAUAUUGCUCAAUGGGGGAAACCCUGAACCAGCCAAGUCGCGUGAGGGAAUAAGGCCCUACGGGUCGUAAACCUCUUUUGCCGGGGAGCAAGGGCCGGGACGCGUCCCGGCCCGGAGAGUACCCGGAGAAAAAGCAUCGGCUAACUCCGUGCCAGCAGCCGCGGUAAUACGGAGGAUGCGAGCGUUAUCCGGAUUUAUUGGGUUUAAAGGGUGCGUAGGCGGGCUUUUAAGUCAGCGGUAAAAAUUCGGGGCUCAACCCCGUCCGGCCGUUGAAACUGGGGG
This 305-nucleotide ribosomal RNA is filed under the name uncultured bacterium. RNAcentral describes it as "bacterial SSU rRNA". It matches the Rfam family "Bacterial small subunit ribosomal RNA", at positions 337 to 639 of the family's 1533-position model. The record is from RNAcentral.